UCCAGACUCCUACGGGAGGCAGCAGUGGGGGAUAUUGCACAAUGGGGGGAACCCUGAUGCAGCGACGCCGCGUGGGUGAAGGAGCGUUUCGGCGCGUAAAGCCCUCUCGGCAGGGAAGAAGGAGGACGGUACCUGACUAAGAAGCCCCGGCUAACUACGUGCCAGCAGCCGCGGUAAUACGUAGGGGGCAAGCGUUAUCCGGAUUUACUGGGUGUAAAGGGGGCGCAGACGGCAGCGCAAGCCAGGAGUGAAAGCCCGGGGCCCAACCCCGGGACUGCUCUUGGAACUGCGCGGCUGGAGUGCAGGAGGGGCAGGCGGAAUUCCUGGUGUAGCGGUGAAAUGCGUAGAUAUCAGGAGGAACACCGGCGGCGAAGGCGGCCUGCUGGACCGUGACUGACGUUGAGGCUCGAGAGCGUGGGGAGCAAACAGGAUUAGAUACCCGAGUAA
This 447-nucleotide ribosomal RNA is filed under the name uncultured bacterium. RNAcentral describes it as "bacterial SSU rRNA". It matches the Rfam family "Bacterial small subunit ribosomal RNA", at positions 330 to 793 of the family's 1533-position model. The record is from RNAcentral.